Amphiprion ocellaris (clown anemonefish) is the source of this 1399-nucleotide long non-coding RNA. Lineage: Eukaryota; Metazoa; Chordata; Actinopteri; Pomacentridae. The record is from Ensembl.
GUCCGUGUGUCAGGAAGGUCAUGGUGCUAGUCUGGUAGACUUGGCGUCCGGCAAAAAUAUCUCGUACGCAAUGGAUUCUACCAGUUACAUCCUUUUUAAAGGAAACAAAAGGCUAACGCUUAGGGAGGACGACAUGAAUGGUAAUAAAAUCGCCAGAAUAUUCCAGGUAUAUGCGCCGAGCCUGUACAUAACCAAUGAUGACAAUGUGGCCAUAUUCCCUGGUUGGGCUGGACAUUUCAGCUGCUUGGACCUUAAACCUCGUGGCCACUAUGAGGUUCAUGGGGAUGAUAUUGCUCUACCAGUCGCCGAGCAGACUCCUCCAUUGUCAGGCCAGAACCGUUUCCAGUUCCACCGUUCAGCACAGCCCGCUGCUGCUCUAGGGUCACCUGCUCAGGCCAUUGCUCCCACUCCCCCCCGAGCAAGCAUGAGUAACACCUUCCAAAGGUCUGUUUUCAUUGCUGAGCUCAGCCAGGGGAAACUGAAGCCUGCCCGCAUGGUUGUACUCUGACUGAGUUUGAAGCCACAACCACAGGUAUCCUUGCAAAAUUACAUGAUGCCCUGCAGAGUGAUGACCCUCUCAUCCUGACUGAUGCCCAGGGAAAUGAGAUUGUGGACUCCGAAGGGACAAGAGGAUCCAAGUACUGGAAGCAAAAUGCAAAAAAGUUUCUUGCUGUCCCAGAGCAGAUCUUCCAUGAGUUCCAGCAAGGAACAAAGGGAAAGAAACUGAACCAUAAAGAUAUGGACUCCACAAGUCUUCAGGGGGUCUAUGAUAAAAUAGAAGAAGUGAUCUUGGCUGCUCAAGGACUGAAUGAAGUCACCAGAGUCAUGAAGGACCUGUCAACACAUGCCAGCAACACCAGGGGUGCCAUGCUGGUUCUGACCAACACCAUGAUAACACACAUGAAGGAUGCCUUUGGUUGUAUUGUAUGCAAAGGGCUAUUGGAAGAGCCUGUGAUUGCCGUAUGCUGCAAAAGCUUCGUUGGCUGCAAAAACUGCGUUGACCAGUGGAUGCUGACAUCCGACCAGUGCCUCAAAUGCAGGGCAGAUGAGUUCUCUGUCAGUGUUCACAGGCUGACCAGUCUUGACAAUCUUCUCUCCAUACUGGCUGGUGUAAUUAAGAUGGAUUUACCCUUUAAGUGUGAUUGUAUCACAUUCUGAUUUAAGCUUGAUCUGGCUAAUUGCCUUGUUCUAAAGUCAGUUGGAAUUUUGCACUUGUUCAAUAACUGUAGAGGAUACAGAAUAGUUUUAUUUUUAUACAUUUUUUUUUGUAUUUCAUGUUGCACUUAGACCAAUAUUGCUAUUAUAGCAAUUUUAGCAAGUGUUCAAUUUUAUUUAUUAAAGGAAAGUAACAGAAUAUCUACUAUAUCCAGAAACAACUGGUCUUUAUUUGACAUGUUCA